GAUGAACGCUGGCGGCGUGCCUAAUACAUGCAAGUCGAGCGAACAGACGAGGAGCUUGCUCCUUCGACGUUAGCGGCGGACGGGUGAGUAACACGUAGGUAACCUACCUAUAAGACUGGGAUAACUUCGGGAAACCGGAGCUAAUACCGGAUAAUAUUUCGAACCGCAUGGUUCGAUAGUGAAAGAUGGCUUUGCUAUCACUUAUAGAUGGACCUGCGCCGUAUUAGCUAGUUGGUAAGGUAACGGCUUACCAAGGCAACGAUACGUAGCCGACCUGAGAGGGUGAUCGGCCACACUGGAACUGAGACACGGUCCAGACUCCUACGGGAGGCAGCAGUAGGGAAUCUUCCGCAAUGGCGAAAGCCUGACGGAGCAACGCCGCGUGAGUGAUGAAGGUCUUCGGAUCGUAAAACUCUGUUAUUAGGGAAGAACAAACGUGUAAGUAACUGUGCACGUCUUGACGGUACCUAAUCAGAAAGCCACGGCUAACUACGUG
Molecule: ribosomal RNA, 496 nt
Filed under: uncultured bacterium
Lineage: Bacteria
Description: partial 16S ribosomal RNA
Rfam family: Bacterial small subunit ribosomal RNA
Source: RNAcentral